CGAGCGCUGUAGCAAUACAGAGCGGCGCACGGGUGAGGAACACGUGGGAACGUGCCCAACGGUUCGGAAUAACUCAGGGAAACUUGAGCUAAUACCGGAUACGCCCCUUCGGGGGGAAAGAUUUAUCGCCGAUGGAGCGGCCCGCGUCCGAUUAGCUUGUUGGUGAGGUAAAAGCUCACCAAGGCGACGAUCGGUAGCUGGUUUGAGAGAACGAUCAGCCACACUGGGACUGAGACACGGCCCAGACUCCUACGGGAGGCAGCAGUGGGGAAUCUUGGACAAUGGGGGAAACCCUGAUCCAGCCAUGCCGCGUGGGUGAUGAAGGCCCUAGGGUUGUAAAACUCUUUCGGCGGGGACGAUAAUGACGGUACCCGCAGAAGAAGCUCCGGCUAACUUCGUGCCAGCAGCCGCGGUAAUACGAAGGGGGCUAGCGUUGUUCGGAAUUACUGGGCGUAAAGCGCGCGCAGGCGGUUUUCCAAGUCAGAGGUGAAAGCCCAGAGCUCAACUCUGGAACUGCCUUUGAAACUGGAAAACUAGGGUACGGGAGAGGUGAGUGGAAUUCCGAGUGUAGAGGUGAAAUUCGUAGAUAUUCGGAAGAACACCAGUGGCGAAGGCGGCUCACUGGCCCGUUACCGACGCUCAGGCGCGAC
Molecule: ribosomal RNA, 650 nt
Filed under: uncultured bacterium
Lineage: Bacteria
Description: bacterial SSU rRNA
Rfam family: Bacterial small subunit ribosomal RNA
Source: RNAcentral